CCUACGGGUGGCAGCAGUAAGGAAUAUUGGUCAAUGGACGGAAGUCUGAACCAGCCAUCCCGCGUGCAGGAAGAAGGUCCUAUGGAUUGUAAACUGCUUUUAGCAGAGACGAAACGCCUUCAUUUAUGGGGGUUUGACGGUAUCUGCGGAAUAAGCACCGGCUAACUCCGUGCCAGCAGCCGCGGUAAUACGGAGGGUGCAAGCGUUAUCCGGAUUCACUGGGUUGAAGGGGGGGGAUGACGGGAGAGUAGAAAGCCUGUAGCUUAACUACAGAAGUGCCAUUGAUACUGAUGUUCUGGAAUUGGGUUGAGGUUAGCGGAAUGUGACAGGUAACGGUGAAAUGUUUAGAUAUGGCAUGGAACACCGAUUGCGAAGGCAGCUAGCUGGGCCUGGAUUGACGCUGAGGCACGAAAGCGUGGGUAGCGAACAGGAUUAGAUACCCCAGUAGUC
RNAcentral lists this ribosomal RNA (450 nucleotides) under uncultured bacterium. RNAcentral's name for it is "partial 16S ribosomal RNA". It matches the Rfam family "Bacterial small subunit ribosomal RNA", at positions 338 to 795 of the family's 1533-position model. The record is from RNAcentral.